Molecule: ribosomal RNA, 133 nt
Filed under: uncultured bacterium
Lineage: Bacteria
Description: partial 16S ribosomal RNA
Rfam family: Bacterial small subunit ribosomal RNA
Source: RNAcentral
GGGGAAUUUUCCGCAAUGGGCGAAAGCCUGACGGAGCAAUACAGCGUGAGGGAAGACUGCCUAUGGGUUGUAAACCUCUUUUUUCAGGGAGGAAUAAAUGACGUGUACCUGAAGAAUAAGCAUCGGCUAACUC